AUAUCAUAGAAGGUGACAAUCCUGUACAAUAUUCAAGCGCUCUUUCUCAUUUGCUUCUCUUUUUAGAGUCGGGUUAUUUGGGAGUAUAGCCUAAAAUGGGUGGUAAAUUUCACCUAAAGCUAAAUAUCGGGAGAGAGACCGAUAGCAAAGUCAAGUAGUGCGAACGAAAGGUGAAAAGAACUUUGAAAAGAGAGUUAAACAAGGGCUUGAAAUUGUUAAAAGAGAAGCAAUCAAAAUGAGGGUAAAAAGAGUGGAAAAGAAAUAUUCAAUGUGAAGAGGGGGGACAAAAGGGGAUAAAGGAUAUCAUUUAUGUGGUGUUCUUUGUUUCAGUUUGAAUUCCUUUUCUUUAUAUGUAUUUAUUUCUUUUCAACAACAAUUUAGAAUGGGUUUUGUUAAUGAAAAAGCUUAUGAAAAGCAAGGUUUCUGAGUGAAACUAAUUUUCGUAAAUU
This 449-nucleotide ribosomal RNA is filed under the name uncultured eukaryote. RNAcentral's name for it is "eukaryotic LSU rRNA". It matches the Rfam family "Eukaryotic large subunit ribosomal RNA", at positions 200 to 626 of the family's 3401-position model. The record is from RNAcentral.